This 248-nucleotide unclassified non-coding RNA is filed under the name air metagenome. Its description in RNAcentral is "partial contains small subunit ribosomal RNA, internal transcribed spacer 1, and 5.8S ribosomal RNA". The stretch from base 1 to 46 matches the Rfam family "Eukaryotic small subunit ribosomal RNA", at positions 1786 to 1831 of the family's 1831-position model. The record is from RNAcentral.
AAGUCGUAACAAGGUUUCCGUAGGUGAACCUGCGGAAGGAUCAUUAAUGAAUUUUGUCCGGGGCCGAUGCUGGCCUCUUCAGGCAUGUGCUCGCCCCGUUCAUAUCCUCUCACACCUGUGCACUCUCGCGUGGGCUGGCAUCCCCGCCGGCCUGCGUCUUCUCACAAACUCUUGCAUGGUCAUACGCAUGGUACCGAUGCCGUGAAACGCAUCUCAUACAACUUUCAACAACGGAUCUCUUGGCUCUC